GAAGAUGGUGCAAGACAAGGAGGACUGCGUGCUUAUGGGGUGAGUGCUGCAAAGGACUGCAUCAGGGAGCUGAUGCCUUGAGUAGCAGGAGAAGAUCGGUUAAGCAAGCACGUGUGCACCCGCAUGUGUCGGUUUGCCCCCCCGCUGUGCCAUUUUCCGCCUUCUGUGACUCAUUUCCGCAGACCGCACAUCUGUGGCCUCCCUGGUGUGUUGGCGCGAACUUCGUUCCAUCUGCCUGCGCUGCUCCUAAACCCCGUAAUGUCUAUCGUUCCUAAUCUGUUGCCCGUUCGUCACAGGGACCUGUCAUGGCGCGCAAGCUGAACGAGUGCCUGGAGCGGCGGUCUUCAGCCCCCGGUGGUCAGCUCUGCGCCAUGCGCCCACUUACGACUGCCAUGUGUGUAGAGCAGCUGCUCUGAGCAUCACAUAGGCAGGAGUGCCAAGCUAAGCCUGCCUGCCUAAGCCAGACCGUGCAGCUGUGUGUGGAUUUGGCGAUCUAGCUCUUAGGACUUUACAUUGUCAAGCAACAUUAAAAAACAGGGACAUAUGUUGCAGGAUUGCGCACGUCGCAGCUCUGUUGUUAGCUAUUGCUCAUAUUGGCGGCGUAUUGCUGGCUCUUAUUUUAGCAUUUCCAUUUAUCCGUUACUGUACAAUAUGGAACAGGCAAUCACGUGCUGUUGAACGGCAGAGAGCAGCCUUUUUGCGUGUUGCCAUCGUUGUGCUUAUCUAGACAGAAUAAGGGUGUCGACAUCGGUCACCCCUGGUGUUGCUUGCUUCUGUUGCCUGUUGUGCAGUGGUAGUGGCGCCAAUGCCAGGGGGCGGCCUUCCCCUGCUGGCGAGCGCAAUUUCCUGUCGAGAAGAAAAGGGGUGCUUGGUUGCCCGUAUAGUUAGUUGUUGGCGGCGUAUGAUGUCAUUACAUAGUUGCGCGGUGUCAACAGCUGCUGGCGAGGAGCCGUGUCAAGGGUCCUUUGCAUGGCAAAUGGUAGCACCGACCUCGUUUGCGUAUGCGUCUCGUUGGGGAGCCCCGUGAACGUACGUAGGUCGCACAACUGUAGGAAUGAGUGUCUUUCAUGAGGUUGUGCAUUGCCUCCUGACACCCAGCUAUCGCUCGGAAAUCUGAUAU
This 1120-nucleotide long non-coding RNA is filed under the name Volvox carteri. Its description in RNAcentral is "long non-coding RNA (VCAR_LNC004231)". The record is from RNAcentral. Lineage: Eukaryota; Viridiplantae; Chlorophyta; Chlorophyceae; Chlamydomonadales; Volvocaceae.